This 844-nucleotide ribosomal RNA is filed under the name Ganoderma sp. Its description in RNAcentral is "partial large subunit ribosomal RNA". It matches the Rfam family "Eukaryotic large subunit ribosomal RNA", at positions 97 to 928 of the family's 3401-position model. Lineage: Eukaryota; Fungi; Basidiomycota; Agaricomycetes; Polyporales; Polyporaceae. The record is from RNAcentral.
AGCGGGAAAAGCUCAAAUUUAAAAUCUGGCGGUCUUUGGCCGUCCGAGUUGUAGUCUGGAGAAGUGCUUUCCGCGCUGGACCGUGUAUAAGUCUCUUGGAACAGAGCGUCAUAGAGGGUGAGAAUCCCGUCUUUGACACGGACUACCAGUGCUUUGUGAUGCGCUCUCAAAGAGUCGAGUUGUUUGGGAAUGCAGCUCAAAAUGGGUGGUGAAUUCCAUCUAAAGCUAAAUAUUGGCGAGAGACCGAUAGCGAACAAGUACCGUGAGGGAAAGAUGAAAAGCACUUUGGAAAGAGAGUUAAACAGUACGUGAAAUUGCUGAAAGGGAAACGCUUGAAGUCAGUCGCGUCGUCCGGAACUCAGCCUUGCUUUCGCUUGGUGCACUUUCCGGAUGACGGGUCAGCAUCGAUUUUGACCGUCGGAAAAGGGCUGGAGUAAUGUGGCACCUCCGGGUGUGUUAUAGACUCUAGCCGCAUACGGCGGUCGGGAUCGAGGAACGCAGCGCGCCGCAAGGCAGGGGUUCGCCCACUUUCGCGCUUAGGAUGCUGGCAUAAUGGCUUUAAACGACCCGUCUUGAAACACGGACCAAGGAGUCUAACAUACCUGCGAGUGUUUGGGUGGAAAACCCGAGCGCGCAAUGAAAGUGAAAGUUGAGACCCCUGUCGUGGGGGGCAUCGACGCCCGGACCUGACGUUUUCUGACGGAUCCGCGGUAGAGCAUGUAUGUUGGGACCCGAAAGAUGGUGAACUAUGCCUGAAUAGGGUGAAGCCAGAGGAAACUCUGGUGGAGGCUCGUAGCGAUUCUGACGUGCAAAUCGAUCGUCAAAUUUGGGUAUAGGGGCGAAA